This 74-nucleotide transfer RNA is filed under the name bacterium. Its description in RNAcentral is "tRNA-Gly". It matches the Rfam family "tRNA". Rfam says of the family: Transfer RNA (tRNA) molecules are approximately 80 nucleotides in length. The record is from RNAcentral.
GCGGGUAUGGUUCAGUGGUAGAACGCGACCUUCCCAAGGUUGAGACACGGGUCCGAUUCCCGUUACUCGCUCAA